AACGAACGCUGGCGGCAGGCUUAACACAUGCAAGUCGCGGGAGAAGCAGUCUUCGGAUUGUGGGCACCGGCGCACGGGUGAGUAACGCGUGGGAACGUACCCCUUGGCGGGGGACAACGGCUGGAAACGGCCGCUAAUACCGCAUACGCCCUUUUGGGGAAAGGCUUCGGCCACCGAAGGAUCGGCCCGCGUUGGAUUAGUUAGUUGGUGAGGUAAUGGCUCACCAAGGCUACGAUCCAUAGCUGGUCUGAGAGGAUGAUCAGCCACACUGGAACUGAGACACGGUCCAG
This 290-nucleotide ribosomal RNA is filed under the name uncultured bacterium. RNAcentral's name for it is "partial 16S ribosomal RNA". It matches the Rfam family "Bacterial small subunit ribosomal RNA", at positions 29 to 334 of the family's 1533-position model. The record is from RNAcentral.